GACGAACGCUGGCGGCGUGCCUAAUACAUGCAAGUCGAACGAAGCUGUUUUAACUGGUGCUUGCACCGACUUAAACAACUGAGUGGCGAACGGGUGAGUAACACGUGGGUAACCUGCCCCAAAGCGGGGGAUAACAUUUGGAAACAGAUGCUAAUACCGCAUAACCACAGAAACCACAUGGUUUCAGUGUCAAAGAUGGUUUCGGCUAUCACUUUGGGAUGGACCCGCGGCGUAUUAGCUCGUAGGUAAGGUAAUGGCUUACCAAGGCAAUGAUACUGAGCCGAACUGAGAGGUUGAUCGGCCACAUUGGGACUGAGACACGGCCCAAACUCCUACGGGAGGCAGCAGUAGGGAAUCUUCCACAAUGGACGAAAGUCUGAUGGAGCAACGCCGCGUGAGUGAAGAAGGUUUUCGGAUCGUAAAACUCUGUUGUCAGAGAAGAACGUGUGCGAGAGUAACUGCUCGUGCAGUGACGGUAUCUGGCCAGAAAGCCACGGCUAACUACGUGCCAGCAGCCGCGGUAA
Molecule: ribosomal RNA, 524 nt
Filed under: uncultured bacterium
Lineage: Bacteria
Description: partial 16S ribosomal RNA
Rfam family: Bacterial small subunit ribosomal RNA
Source: RNAcentral